GAAUAAAUAAUAUCAAGAAUAAAUCACGCUUCUAACAAAUGGUAUCAGCCAAAUAAUGCUUCCAAUAAUAAUUAAGUUUUAAAACCUAAACGCUAAAUCUUUGUAAAUGAGUAGUAGUACCAAGAUUUUAAGUGUCCGUCGGCACGGGCCGUAUCCACUGUGUCGUAUCGUGCCAACAAAAUAUUAGCACGAUACAGACUCCGUAUCGAUGGCACGGCUCAAAACUCUCUAUUCUUUAAAUUAGUAAGUAAUUUUUUCAAUAAAAUUCAAAGGAUGUGAUAAAAAGAUAUAAUAAAUAGUUAGAAAAUUUUGUUGAUUGCUAAAGAAAAUAAAUAUUUUAUGCUAUUAAGUGUGGGCACACAAGAAUUUUUUUGACCGACACGCAUCGAUAUGGCUCGACAUGCAUCGUGUCAUAUCGUGUCUGUAAAUUUUUGACACGAUUCCGUACCAUGGCAUUUAAAUUCUUGGGUAGUA
Molecule: long non-coding RNA, 474 nt
Filed under: Ananas comosus (pineapple)
Lineage: Eukaryota; Viridiplantae; Streptophyta; Magnoliopsida; Poales; Bromeliaceae
Description: long non-coding RNA (ACOM_LNC029511)
Source: RNAcentral